GAAUGUCAAAACGACUCUCGNCAACGGAUAUCUCGGCUCUCGCAUCGAUGAAGAACGUAGCGAAAUGCGAUACUUGGUGUGAAUUGCAGAAUCCCGUGAACCAUCGAGUCUUUGAACGCAAGUUGCGCCCGAAGCCUUCGGGCCGAGGGCACGCCUGCCUGGGCGUCACGCAUCGCGUC
RNAcentral lists this ribosomal RNA (179 nucleotides) under Ruellia bourgaei. RNAcentral's name for it is "5.8S ribosomal RNA". The stretch from base 13 to 168 matches the Rfam family "5.8S ribosomal RNA". From Rfam's summary of the family: 5.8S ribosomal RNA (5.8S rRNA) is a component of the large subunit of the eukaryotic ribosome. It is transcribed by RNA polymerase I as part of the 45S precursor that also contains 18S and 28S rRNA. Functionally, it is thought that 5.8S rRNA may be involved in ribosome translocation. The record is from RNAcentral. Lineage: Eukaryota; Viridiplantae; Streptophyta; Magnoliopsida; Lamiales; Acanthaceae.